GUGGUGGUUUAGUUGGAGCAGCCCAUCAGGCGUUAACUGGACUCGCUGAGCACUGACCCGUUAUCCUUCCACUGCACAGAGCGGAAGCUGUUCGUUGCUCUGUGAAACCAGCCUCACGCAGUCCACCCCACUUUAGGAAUCAAGCAACCUGGUCUUUCGACUAAGCCACGUGAUCCAACUCCAUGCUUGGAGAGGGCAGGCCAGACUAUAAGCCUACCGAACCCAACCAUCUGGGUCAACCCAACAUUCCACCACAUUAAUGCCCCCACUCGGAGCGGAAACUUAUCGUUGCUCUUCCAUUUCUUCAAUUGGGCCACAUGAUCCAACUCUAAGCUUGGAUAGGGCAAGUCAGAAAUUAGCCCACCAAGCCCAACCAUCUGGUACAGCCCAACAUUCCACCACAUUAAUGCCCCCAUUUGGGUUACAAGCCCACAUUACUAAGCUCGGC
RNAcentral lists this long non-coding RNA (448 nucleotides) under Solanum lycopersicum (tomato). Its description in RNAcentral is "partial TCONS_00150720". The record is from RNAcentral. Lineage: Eukaryota; Viridiplantae; Streptophyta; Magnoliopsida; Solanales; Solanaceae.